CCAACGGGGGGCUGCAGUCGAGGAUCAUUCGCAAUGGGCGAAAGCCUGACGAUGCGACGCUGCGUGGAGGAUGAAGGCCCUCGGGUCGUAAACUCCUGUCAUGAGGGAAGAGGGAAGCGCGGGUAACAUCCGCGCGACUUGACGGUACCUCAAGAGGAAGCCACGGCUAACUCUGUGCCAGCAGCCGCGGUAAUACAGAGGUGGCGAGCGUUGUUCGGAUUUACUGGGCGUAAAGGGCGCGUAGGCGGCCGCGUGUGUGGGGUGUGAAAUCUCCGGGCUCAACCCGGAAAGUGCGCCACAAACUGCGCGGCUGGAGUGCGGGAGGGGAGAUCGGAAUGCAGGGUGUAGCGGUGAAAUGCGUUGAUAUCCUGCAGAACACCGGUGGCGAAGGCGGAUCUCUGGAACGCAACUGACGCUGAGGCGCGAAAGUCGGGGGAGCAAACA
RNAcentral lists this ribosomal RNA (444 nucleotides) under uncultured prokaryote. RNAcentral describes it as "bacterial SSU rRNA". It matches the Rfam family "Bacterial small subunit ribosomal RNA", at positions 338 to 774 of the family's 1533-position model. The record is from RNAcentral.